UACAGAGGAUGCAAGCGUUAUCCGGAAUGAUUGGGCGUAAAGCGUCUGUAGGUGGCUUUUUAAGUCCGCCGUCAAAUCCCAGGGCUCAACUCUGGACAGGCGGUGGAAACUACCAAGCUGGAGUACGGUAGGGGCAGAGGGAAUUUCCGGUGGAGCGGUGAAAUGCGUAGAUAUCUGGAGGAACACCGGUGGCGAAGGCGGCAUCCUGGACCGACACUGACACUGAGGAGCGAAAGCUAGGGGAGCAAACGGG
RNAcentral lists this ribosomal RNA (253 nucleotides) under uncultured bacterium. RNAcentral's name for it is "partial 16S ribosomal RNA". It matches the Rfam family "Bacterial small subunit ribosomal RNA", at positions 524 to 776 of the family's 1533-position model. The record is from RNAcentral.